This 373-nucleotide ribosomal RNA is filed under the name uncultured bacterium. Its description in RNAcentral is "bacterial SSU rRNA". It matches the Rfam family "Bacterial small subunit ribosomal RNA", at positions 521 to 896 of the family's 1533-position model. The record is from RNAcentral.
UAAUACGGAGGAUCCAAGCGUUAUCCGGAUUUAUUGGGUUUAAAGGGUGCGUAGGCGGCUUUUUAAGUCAGGGGUGAAAACUUGCGGCUCAACCGUAAGCUUGCCUUUGAUACUGAGGAGCUUGAAUACACUUGAGGUAGGCGGAAUGUGACAAGUAGCGGUGAAAUGCAUAGAUAUGUCACAGAACACCAAUUGCGAAGGCAGCUUACUAAAGUGAGAUUGACGCUGAGGCACGAAAGCGUGGGGAUCAAACAGGAUUAGAUACCCUGGUAGUCCACGCCCUAAACGAUGAAUACUCGAUGUUAGCGAUAUACAGUUAGCGUCUAAGCGAAAGCGUUAAGUAUUCCACCUGGGGAGUACGCCCGCAAGGGUG